GCACUCGUAGCUCAGGGGAUAGAGCACAUCUCUCCUAAGGAUGGUGUCGCAGGUUCAAAUCCUGCCGGGUGUGCCA
This 76-nucleotide transfer RNA is filed under the name Acholeplasmataceae bacterium. RNAcentral describes it as "tRNA-Arg". It matches the Rfam family "tRNA". Rfam says of the family: Transfer RNA (tRNA) molecules are approximately 80 nucleotides in length. Their secondary structure includes four short double-helical elements and three loops (D, anti-codon, and T loops). The record is from RNAcentral. Lineage: Bacteria; Bacillati; Mycoplasmatota; Mollicutes; Acholeplasmatales; Acholeplasmataceae.